UGGGGAAUCUUAGACAAUGGGGGAAACCCUGAUCUAGCCAUGCCGCGUGAGUGACGAAGGCCUUAGGGUCGUAAAGCUCUUUCGCCAGGGAUGAUAAUGACAGUACCUGGUAAAGAAACCCCGGCUAACUCCGUGCCAGCAGCCGCGGUAAUACGGAGGGGGUUAGCGUUGUUCGGAAUUACUGGGCGUAAAGCGCACGUAGGCGGACUAUUAAGUCAGGGGUGAAAUCCCGGGGCUCAACCCCGGAACUGCCUUUGAUACUGGUAGUCUUGAGUUCGAGAGAGGUGAGUGGAAUUCCGAGUGUAGAGGUGAAAUUCGUAGAUAUUGGGUGGAACACCAGUGGCGAAAGCGGCUCUCUGGUCCGGAUCUGACGCUGAGGCGCGAAAGCGUGGGGAGCAAACAGGAUUAGAUACCCCCGUAGUCC
RNAcentral lists this ribosomal RNA (424 nucleotides) under uncultured prokaryote. RNAcentral's name for it is "bacterial SSU rRNA". It matches the Rfam family "Bacterial small subunit ribosomal RNA", at positions 355 to 796 of the family's 1533-position model. The record is from RNAcentral.